AUACGGAGGGAGCAAGCGUUAUUCGGAAUCACUGGGCGUGAAGGACGCGUAGGCGGGUUUGUAAGUCAGGUGUGAAAUCCUACAGCUCAACUGUAGAACUGCACUUGAAACUACAGACCUAGAGUAUGGAAGGGGCAGAUGGAAUCAGUGGUGUAGGGGUAAAAUCCGUAGAUAUCACUAGGAAUACCGAAAGCGAAGGCGAUCUGCUGGGACAUUACUGACGCUGAGGCGUGAAAGCGUGGGGAGCAAACAGGAUUAGAAACCCCAGUAGUCC
This 274-nucleotide ribosomal RNA is filed under the name uncultured bacterium. Its description in RNAcentral is "partial 16S ribosomal RNA". It matches the Rfam family "Bacterial small subunit ribosomal RNA", at positions 523 to 796 of the family's 1533-position model. The record is from RNAcentral.